Molecule: long non-coding RNA, 927 nt
Filed under: Sarcophilus harrisii (Tasmanian devil)
Lineage: Eukaryota; Metazoa; Chordata; Mammalia; Dasyuromorphia; Dasyuridae
Description: lncRNA (ENSSHAG00000031628.1)
Source: RNAcentral
GUUUGCUACAAGAGAUGUCCAGGAGUUAUGAGGUGGGAAAGCAUCUCUCUCACACAUCCCUAGGUUUUCCACUUCAUUUAUUCUGGUCUAGGAGAAAACAGCAAAAGGACGACCAGGAUCUGAACGAGAUAUCACCCUUCCUCAUUUGCAGGGUCCGGCCGAUAGGACUAAAGCAAGGACGCUAUGAGUGGCUAAAGAAGAUUAUCCCCCUCUCUCUCCUUCUCUCCCAGGACCCAGCCAAUGAGAUUGUGUCAAAAUGAUAUUCAAAACUAGGAGGCACAGAGGGAACAGGGGCUGCCUGCCUGGGCCCGACAAAUAGGUUGAUGAAGCCCCUCUCUCUUUUCCUGGUCCAAAGAGCAGAUCACAUGACCAAUGAGACCCUUUCCAUCUCCCUGGCCCUAGAAGCCAUAUCACUUGCUGCUUCUAAAAGAUCACCAGGAGGAGAGGUUGUGGCAAAUACCUUUGGCUGGCAAUAUCUUGGCAAGAAGUUGAGACGAUUAUUUGGAAAGACAAAAGGAAUAUUAAAGAUGGAAGACGACCUUCUCUCCGUAGACCAAACUAGCAAAUCCACCGGGGGCAACUCUCUCUCCCUCCCUCCCUUUGCCUUGGCUGUCAAGAUUAUGAUGAGGAAAUAAGAGUCCUGAAGGUCCAGUGGAUGGCCUAGAAUGCAGUGGAUGGCCUUGAUGUCUUAUAUGAUCAAGUUCCGAGUUCUCCACAGCGCCUUCUUCAGCGGUCUUCAUGGCCAUUGGGAUGACUCUCACCUCCCCCUUCCAUUAGGGAAGUCUUCACGUGUUUGGGAGUACACUCCCCCCCAACAUGGUGAUGGGUCUGAUGCCUUCAAUUACUCUCACCUGGUUCCGCCCAUUUGCAGAGACAAUUUUACUGGGGUGUAGCUGCUGUUCACGCAACAACUCCUUGGAGCUACAG